RNAcentral lists this unclassified non-coding RNA (2218 nucleotides) under Hevea brasiliensis (rubber tree). The record is from RNAcentral. Lineage: Eukaryota; Viridiplantae; Streptophyta; Magnoliopsida; Malpighiales; Euphorbiaceae.
GGCAUCAAGAGCCUGCUUUGCCAUACUACUGCAAUCAACAAACCAUUGGGGCUUUAUCAUUGGCUCCACAACAUCAUUGCUUCUUGAACAACAGCCAAGUCGCAUCUCAUUGUUUUUAGCACCCAUAUACAAUCCCUUUUUCUGUAAUGCUUCCUUCACUGCCUCACGGGCCUUGAAACGUGGCAUCCCAGUGAACUCUGAGCCACCAUUGCUAUUAAUCUUACCAUCAUCAGUAAAAAUAUUAAUAAAUUCAAGAUUGUGACGCUUCCCAACCUCAAAAUCAUUUGGAUCAUGCGCUGGAGUGAUCUGCAGAAAAGGAAGGACUAUAGAAUAUUGACUUGCCAAAAAGACGUUUAAGACAAUUUUAGGGCCUGUUUGGUAUCCAUUCCCUUCUUGGAGUUUGGUUUACAUCGCUCAAUUGUCAAAGAAACGUGUAUCAAUAAAACAUAUCUAAUUUUAUUUUCUGGUGUUCUAUAACAGCAAAACAGGUUGGAACACGGGGGAAAAAAAGUAGUUUUUGUUGUUUUAUCAACUUGUUUUCCAAAAUAAUAAAUUUUCAAAAUUGGACAACAAAACCCAAAAACAGAAAUUGAUAUCAAACAGCCCUUUAGCAUUCUGAGUGCAGAAGCACAGUCUUACCUUGACAGCACCAGUCCCAAAAUUGGGAUCGACGAGAACAGCAUCACAAAUUAUAGGAAGUUUUCUUCCAUUAAAUGGAUGAAUUGCAAAUUUGCCAUGUAGAUGACUGUACCUUUGGUCAUCAGGAUGUAUGGCAAUAGCAGUAUCACCAAGCAUUGUUUCCAAUCUAGUUGUGGCAACAACAAUUUCACCCAAAUCUCCCUCCAAAGGAUAAGCAAAUAAGGUUAAAAGACCAAAUUCCACUGGCUUAUCAUAACCAGGAACCUUCAACAGUGUCUUCUCUUUGAUGUCAGUAUAAUCUACCUCAAUAUCAGAUAUAGCUGUUCGUAAGGUGCAAUCCCAAUUCACUAAUCGGAUAUCCCUAUAGAUGAGACGUUCCUUGUAUAGCCUAACAAAUUCCUCGAUCACAGCCUUUGAUCUUUUAUCAUCCAUUGUAAAACACUCACGAGACCAAUCAAGAGAGGCACCCAAACGACGCAGCUGUCUCAGUAUGGCACCCCCAUAAUCCUCCUUCCACUUCCACACUUCAGAAACAAAUUUCUCACGACCAAUAUCAUGUCUGGUUAGGUGGCGUUCACGCAUUAAUUUCUUCUCUACAACCACCUGUGUUGCUAUUCCAGCAUGGUCCACACCAGGUACCCACAAGGUAUUAUAUCCAGACAUUCUCCGCCAACGAAUGAUCAUAUCCUCUAUAGCAGCUGCAAGGGCAUGGCCUAUAUGUAGGGCCCCAGUCACAUUUGGUGGUGGAAGAACUAUGGUAAAUGAUGGUUUGGAGCUUUUUGCAUCAGCUGUAAAAUAACCUGACUUUUCCCACCACGCAUACCAUGAUUUCUCCACAGCAGUUGGAUUAUAUUGUUUUGCCAUUUGUGCAGAAAGCCUUUUCUUAUCACCAGAAGGAGUCUCUGGGUCAACAUAAUCUUCAGGAUUCUCUUCACCUCCAGCAUCUCGCCUAGCAUUCUUUUUAGCAGAACUCUUUUUUGAAGCAUUAUUGGAUUCUUGUUGUGCCUUAAAUUUAGCUGCUUUUUCAGCUGCCUUAAGUUUCUUCAAUUCCUUUUCCCUAGCCUUUUCUUCUUUCUUCUUCUUGCGAUCAAGGUCCUCUUGGGUUUCAGUCUUCUUUUCUGCUACUGACAUGUUUCUUUGUUUGAGAUUUUAUAGAAGAAUGAGAAAUAGGGUGCGUGAUCAACAAUGACGCGUGACUGGAGUUCUGACAGGAAAGUUGUUGGCUUCUGGCUCCCCCUUUCUCCAAUUAAACCUUCGAUUCGAUUUUGAUAAGGGAGAGGAGCAGGCAGCUAUUUAGGGCUACUUGCGUUCUUUAGUUCGAUUACAAUCGCCACGGCGAUAGCUUCACAGUGGAGAACGAGGCGUCGGCGACGGUGAUGGAGAAAGACAAUGAAGGCGAUGUGAGGGAGCAGAACAAUGAAGGAUGGAAGCGAAGACGUCAAAGCGAGGAAAGAAAGCGAUGGGGACGGUGAAGGAGAAAGGCAAAUGGUGAACGGCUACGAAGGACGACGGCUGUGGCGGCUUUGAAGUGGCGCGGCACUGGGACGACUUACGACUUACGACUUACGACUUACGACUU